This 88-nucleotide transfer RNA is filed under the name Agromyces rhizosphaerae. RNAcentral describes it as "tRNA-Asp". The record is from RNAcentral. Lineage: Bacteria; Bacillati; Actinomycetota; Actinomycetes; Micrococcales; Microbacteriaceae.
CGGCGACGAGGCGCAGGCACUGGCCGCCCGUCACGCGGCGUGGCUGGGGUCGAUCCCCGGCACCCCCGGUUCCGACCGGGGACGUCCG